RNAcentral lists this ribosomal RNA (456 nucleotides) under uncultured bacterium. RNAcentral's name for it is "bacterial SSU rRNA". It matches the Rfam family "Bacterial small subunit ribosomal RNA", at positions 28 to 521 of the family's 1533-position model. The record is from RNAcentral.
GACGAACGCUGGCGGCGUGCUUAACACAUGCAAGUCGAACGGGAUCCAGGCUUCGGCCUGGUGAGAGUGGCGGACGGGUGAGUAACGCGUGGGAACCUGCCCAAUGGUCUGGGAUAACCGCGGGAAACUGCGGCUAAUACCGGAUAAGCCCGAGAGGGGAAAGAUUUAUCGCCGAUGGAGGGGCCCGCGUCAGAUUAGGUAGUUGGUGGGGUAAUGGCCUACCAAGCCUACGAUCUGUAGCUGGCUGAGAGGAUGAUCAGCCACACUGGGACUGAGAUACGGCCCAGACUCCUACGGGAGGCAGCAGUGGGGAAUAUUGGACAAUGGGGGCAACCCUGAUCCAGCAAUGCCGCGUGAGUGAUGAAGGCCUUAGGGUUGUAAAGCUCUUUUGCCAGGGACGAUGAUGACGGUACCUGGAGAAUAAGCCCCGGCUAACUUCGUGCCAGCAGCCGCGGU